UACGUAGGGUGCGAGCGUUGUCCGGAAUUAUUGGGCGUAAAGAGCUCGUAGGCGGUGUGUCGCGUCGGCCGUGAAAACCUGCAGCUUAACUGUGGGCUUGCGGUCGAUACGGGCAUCACUGGAGUUCGGCAGGGGAGACUGGAAUUCCUGGUGUAGCGGUGAAAUGCGCAGAUAUCGGGAGGAACACCGGUGGCGAAGGCGGUUCUCUGGGCCUUACCUGACGCUGAGGAGCGAAAGCGUGGGGAGCGAACAGG
This 254-nucleotide ribosomal RNA is filed under the name uncultured bacterium. RNAcentral's name for it is "partial 16S ribosomal RNA". It matches the Rfam family "Bacterial small subunit ribosomal RNA", at positions 524 to 776 of the family's 1533-position model. The record is from RNAcentral.